AACUAUUAGGACACCAUAGAGAAGAGCUGUUCAGACUUAUUAGGAUCAUGGAAGGAAGCUGGAUUCUUUGAUUACCAACCUGAAAUUGCUCAGAAUGGCUUGCAACAGAAAAUGGAUCUUCAGAAGCUGCCCACAAGGUCACUGACAACAGCAACCAGCUCUCUUCAUCAGCCCCUGCCAACCCCACAAAAAGUACAUAUUCUCCUUCAGAAGGAUCCAUGAGGCCGCCAUUCAAUGGCUGACAGAAAUGGAAAAUCGAUUCCAGAUUCAUCUCUGCUGGGAAUUAAGUAUAUUCCUUCGAAAUAAUGAGUUAUGAGGUCAUUGAGGGCUUGUUCUUUUCCUGCUUGCAGAGACAUUUUAAUUUUAGAAGAAAGAGUGACUAAUGAACAGGACAUUCUAAUUCCGGUGAUGUGCUUUUUCCCAUUUUAAUGUCAGCUGAACCACAAAAAUGUUGAUAUUUCUCUCUUCAUUAGUCCUCAUGGUUCAGGAAGAACAUUGUCGCCAAAGGGAAAAAAAACUGGGUAACUCCUGAUCCCUCCACCCAGUUUCAAAAGACAAAACAAGGUGCAGCUCUGAUGUCAGC
This 583-nucleotide long non-coding RNA is filed under the name Pongo abelii (Sumatran orangutan). RNAcentral's name for it is "lincRNA". The record is from RNAcentral. Lineage: Eukaryota; Metazoa; Chordata; Mammalia; Primates; Hominidae.